GCUUACGGCCAUACCACCCUGAGCACGUCUGUUCUCAGAAGCUAAGCAGGGUGGGGCCUGGUUAGUACUUGGAUGGGGAGACCGCCUGGGAAUACCAGGUGCUGUAAGCU
Molecule: ribosomal RNA, 110 nt
Filed under: Betta splendens (Siamese fighting fish)
Lineage: Eukaryota; Metazoa; Chordata; Actinopteri; Anabantiformes; Osphronemidae
Source: RNAcentral